GAUGAACGCUGGCGGCGUGCCUAAUACAUGCAAGUCGAGCGAACAGACGAGGAUCUUGCUCCUCUGACGUUAGCGGCGGACGUGUGAGUAACACGUGGAUAACCUACCUAUAAGACUGGGAUAACUUCGGGAAACCGGCGCUAAUACCGUAUAAUAUAUUGAACCGCAUGGUUCAAUAGUGAAAGACGGUUUUGCUGUCACUUAUCGAUGGAUCCGCGCCGCAUUAGCUAGUUGGUAAGGUAACGGCUUACCAAGGCGACGAUGCGUAGCCGACCUGAGAGGGUGAUCGGCCACACUGGAACUGAGACACGGUCCAGACUCCUACGGGAGGCAGCAGUAGGGAAUAUUCCGCAAUGGGCGAAAGCCUGACGGAGCAACGCCGCGUGAGUGAUGAAGGUCUUCGGAUCGGAAAACUCUGUUAUUAGGGAAGAACAAAUGUGUAAGUAACUAUGCACGUAUUGACGGUACCUAAUCAGAAAGCAACGGCUAACUACGUG
Molecule: ribosomal RNA, 497 nt
Filed under: uncultured bacterium
Lineage: Bacteria
Description: partial 16S ribosomal RNA
Rfam family: Bacterial small subunit ribosomal RNA
Source: RNAcentral